UUACAUGCAAGUCGAGCGGACAGAUGGGAGCUUGCUCCCUGAUGUUAGCGGCGGACGGGUGAGUAACACGUGGGUAACCUGCCUGUAAGACUGGGAUAACUCCGGGAAACCGGGGCUAAUACCGGAUGGUUUUUGAACCGCAUGGUUCAAACAUAAAAGGUGGCUUCGGCUACCACUUACAGAUGGACCCGCGGCGCAUUAGCUAGUUGGUGAGGUAACGGCUCACCAAGGCAACGAUGCGUAGCCGACCUGAGAGGGUGAUCGGCCACACUGGGACUGAGACACGGCCCAGACUCCUACGGGAGGCAGCAGUAGGAAUCUUCCGCAAUGGACGAAAGUCUGACGGAGCAACGCCGCGUGAGUGAUGAAGGUUUUCGGAUCGUAAAGCUCUGUUGUUAGGGAAGAACAAGUACCGUUCGAAUAGGGCGGUACCUUGACGGUACCUAACCAGAAAGCCACGGCUAACUACGUGCCAGCAGCCGCGGUAAUACGUAGGUGGCAAGCGUUGUCCGGAAUUAUUGGGCGUAAAGGGCUCGCAGGCGGUUUCUUAAGUCUGAUGUGAAAGCCCCCGGCUCAACCGGGGAGGGUCAUUGGAAACUGGGGAACUUGAGUGCAGAAGAGGAGAGUGGAAUUCCACGUGUAGC
Molecule: ribosomal RNA, 644 nt
Filed under: Bacillus tequilensis
Lineage: Bacteria; Bacillati; Bacillota; Bacilli; Caryophanales; Bacillaceae
Description: bacterial SSU rRNA
Rfam family: Bacterial small subunit ribosomal RNA
Source: RNAcentral